RNAcentral lists this transfer RNA (85 nucleotides) under Gammaproteobacteria bacterium. RNAcentral describes it as "tRNA-Tyr". It matches the Rfam family "tRNA". Rfam says of the family: Transfer RNA (tRNA) molecules are approximately 80 nucleotides in length. Their secondary structure includes four short double-helical elements and three loops (D, anti-codon, and T loops). Further hydrogen bonds mediate the characteristic L-shaped molecular structure. tRNAs have two regions of fundamental functional importance: the anti-codon, which is responsible for specific mRNA codon recognition, and the 3' end, to which the tRNAs corresponding amino acid is attached (by aminoacyl-tRNA synthetases). tRNAs cope with the degeneracy of the genetic code in two manners: having more than one tRNA (with a specific anti-codon) for a particular amino acid; and 'wobble' base-pairing, i.e. permitting non-standard base-pairing at the 3rd anti-codon position. Lineage: Bacteria; Pseudomonadati; Pseudomonadota; Gammaproteobacteria. The record is from RNAcentral.
GGAGGGAUUCCCGAGCGGUCAAAGGGGGCAGACUGUAAAUCUGUUGGCUCAGCCUUCGGAGGUUCGAAUCCUCCUCCCUCCACCA